CAGCCGCCGCGGUAAUACGAAGGGGGCUAGCGUUGCUCGGAAUUACUGGGCGUAAAGGGAGCGUAGGCGGAUCGUUAAGUUGGGGGUGAAAGCCCGGGGCUCAACCUCGGAACUGCCUUCAAUACUGGCGAUCUUGAGUAUGAGAGAGGUGUGUGGAACUCCGAGUGUAGAGGUGAAAUUCGUAGAUAUUCGGGAGAACACCAGUGGCGAAGGCGACACACUGGCUCAUUACUGACGCUGAGGCUCGAAAGCGUGGGGAGCAAACAGGAUUAGAUACCCCGGUAGUCCCUGUCUCUUAUAA
RNAcentral lists this ribosomal RNA (301 nucleotides) under uncultured bacterium. RNAcentral's name for it is "partial 16S ribosomal RNA". It matches the Rfam family "Bacterial small subunit ribosomal RNA", at positions 509 to 809 of the family's 1533-position model. The record is from RNAcentral.